UGAGUAAGUCAGAUAGUCGCGUGUAAUUUACAUGAGGAAAGUCCGAGCUCCUUAGGGCAGGAUGCUGGGCAAUACCCAGUGGGGGUGACCCCAAGGAAAGUGCAACAGAAAUAUACCGCCAGAGCCCUUUUUCGGCAACCAUACUGAAUUUGUGGUGAGAGCAGUGAAAUGUGAGACUGACUGGCAAGGAUGGAAAGGCGAGUUAAAAGCUUCACCAGCAAUUAGGCGACUAAUUGGCUCUGUAAACCCCAUCUGGAGCAAGACCAAGUUAAGGAUAAAUAGAGCAGUGGCCCGCUGCUUUCCUAAUGGUAGGUCGCAAGAACCUAUUGGCAACAAUAGGUCAUAGAUAGAUGGCUAUCUAAUACAGAACUCGGCUUACAGACUUACUCGAAUU
This 394-nucleotide RNase P RNA is filed under the name Sporanaerobacter sp. PP17-6a. RNAcentral describes it as "Bacterial RNase P class A". It matches the Rfam family "Bacterial RNase P class A". Rfam says of the family: Ribonuclease P (RNase P) is a ubiquitous endoribonuclease, found in archaea, bacteria and eukarya as well as chloroplasts and mitochondria. Its best characterised activity is the generation of mature 5'-ends of tRNAs by cleaving the 5'-leader elements of precursor-tRNAs. RNAcentral also lists the same sequence under 2 other names. The record is from Rfam by way of RNAcentral. Lineage: Bacteria; Bacillati; Bacillota; Tissierellia; Tissierellales; Sporanaerobacteraceae.